UACGGAGGGUGCGAGCGGUGUCCGGAAUCACUGGGCGUAAAGGGCGCGUAGGCGGUCUGAUAAGUAGGGGGUGAAAUCCUGCGGCUUAACCGCAGGGCUGCCUUCUAAACUGUCAGGCUCGAGCACAGUAGAGGCAGGUGGAAUUCCCGGUGUAGCGGUGGAAUGCGUAGAGAUCGGGAAGAACAUCAGUGGCGAAGGCGGCCUGCUGGGCUGUUGCUGACGCUGAGGCGCGACAGCGUGGGGAGCAAACAGG
RNAcentral lists this ribosomal RNA (253 nucleotides) under uncultured bacterium. RNAcentral describes it as "partial 16S ribosomal RNA". It matches the Rfam family "Bacterial small subunit ribosomal RNA", at positions 524 to 776 of the family's 1533-position model. The record is from RNAcentral.